AACCCUCUCCCCAUUCUCUCCCUUCCCUCUCCUCUCCUCCCCUCCCCUCCCCUCCCACCUCUCCUCUCUCGACGCGGGUUCCGGCCGGAGCUGCCGCCGGAGGGCGGCGGCGGCUACCGGCGGUGGCAGAGGUGGCUCAAGGCGGUGGCUGCGCGGAGGGUGGAGCCAGCGGCGGGCUUCCCUCCCUCCUCCCAGAUCCGAUGGAGGCGGAGGUAGAAGGCGGAGGCGGCGCGAAGGGUGGACGCCGCGGCGGUGGGUCCGCUGGGAGGGGUGAGGGCGGUGGCGUCGGCGGCCCUCCCCUCCGGAUCUGGCGAGGCGGCUACGUCCGCGGCUGGAUUCGGCACCUCCGCCGUCGUCGCUGUGGUGCGACCUCCCCCGUUCCCGACCCCCUAUAUUGGAUAAGGAGGGGAGGAGGGCGAAGGGGAGGGUGAAGGCAGUUUUGGAGGGCGGCUACGCCGGGAGGGGGGAUGGCGGUGGCGGCGGUGGCCAGAUGCGGACCUCCGACGCGCGCGGCGGACGGCGCGAAGACGGCGAACGGUGAGUCACCUUCCCGCCUCUCCCUCUCCCUAGCCUCUGCGUCUCCCUCUUCCUCUCCUCCCCUCCCCUCCCACCUCUCCUCUCUUGGUGGAGUGGUGGCGUGGUGCGGGGACUGCCGUUGCCGACGAGGCCAGCUCGGAGUGGCGGACCAUGGCGCGAGGGAGUGUCCAACACGCAACCCCUCCCAUCUGCUGCCUCCGUGCCUCCUCCUCCUGUGCUGACGGCUCCGGUGGAGGCCCUCUUCGAUCGCCACCGCCACCGUGCCCUGCUACCCCCUUCCGCUUCCCUUUCUCCACCCGUGUCCCUCUCCUCCGAGUAGCGUUACCGGCCGCAGCCCCUCUCCUCCGAGCAGCGUUACCGGCCGCAGCCCCUCCUCCUGAGCUGGCUGUCGGUGCCAUGCCGCGCCGCUCCUCGGAUGAGUCGAUGAUGCCGCGACACUGAGCCUUCGUCGGAGAGCAUCUGAUUUGGCCCUUUGUGCCCAGGUCGGUUUGGCCACUGCAGGUGGAGCCGUGAAGGUAAUGGCCGCCGCCAGCCAGUGGACCACCUUCUUGGUCCCCCUACGACCUGCGCGCGUCGAUCUACUACCGGGGAACGCCGGAUGCAGGCCGUCGUGGCUGGAUCUACCAGCGCUGGUGUACGACGGCACGAAGUUUUGCAAUGGCGUCGUGCUUGGGACAAUAGGAGUUGGUGCGAUUUUGCGCCUUUUGCCACAACCAACCUCAACAUGGUGAAUUUCGAUGCUUUGCUUGCUUGCGCAAAUCAGCAGAUGUCUUUGAUGCUUGCAGGGUACCUGUGCGUGCACUGUGUAUUUGUCUCUGAGAAGUUACUGUGAAGGAGGUGACAUGUAAGAUGCUCUAACAUUUUUCACUCUUCACUGAUCCUACAGUUUUAUCUUCCAAUGUUCUAAGUCACUGGAACAAGAACGACAUGGCAGAGAGGAUAAGAAGAGAAGGGGUGUCCUUUUCUCUGAAAAGAUAAGAAUAGCUCUCUUCAAGUAUGUUCAAGUAGGCUAGCGUGAAGGUUCUCAAGGAGGUGACCAAGACGAGGAAGGUGCCUGUGCUGGAGGUGCCCUUGGCGUUGACCAAGAUCAAGAAGGCAAAUCUUGAGACAUCCUCAUUCUUUGAGACUCUUAGAGGGACAGAGUUCCCGGUCAGGACAUGGAUGCGCAUCUUUGUGAAGGCCAUGGAGCGAACAUUAUCACGAAUGCAGGGAGAUCUUGACUCGAGAGGUCACCGUCUGCACGUCGAGGCAGUAGAGAGCAUCGAUGAGAUGCAUCCUGAGAGAGGCGGGUCCCUUGGCGCCAGACUCCAUCCCGAUCUCCCCGGCCAGGCCAAAGACAGCAAGGGCGCACGCCGCCGCGGCCAUGGCGUCGGAAGGCUCCUCCACCACCGCGAGGAAGGCCGCGAUGAGGGCCGUCGCGGCGCAGCCCGUCGCCGUUAUCUUCUGCAUCAUGGCCACGCCGUUGCUCACUCCGACCACCCGCUCGCCGUCGGUGACGUAAUCGACGGCCCCGGACACCGCGAUGACGGCACCGGUGGACCGUGCCAGUGCUUUUGCAUCUUGAAGAGCGUCCCCUGAAUCAUGUGUACUGUCCGCGCCCUGCAAAAUCGAUGGGAAUUGAUUGGAACAUUGUACAUUAUAUACUAGUAUCAAUGUACUAGUAAAUUGUUUUGGUUAGUCAGUCAGUUUUGAUUCUUGACAGAACUGAAAGAUCAAUCUGACAUUAGCCAUCAAUCUGACAUUUUGGAUAAUAA
Oryza sativa Japonica Group (Japanese rice) is the source of this 2291-nucleotide non-coding RNA. The record is from RefSeq and is a predicted model, not a curated record. Lineage: Eukaryota; Viridiplantae; Streptophyta; Magnoliopsida; Poales; Poaceae.